UAAGGGCUAGGACACCUCCCUUUCACGGAGGCGAUACGGGUUCGAAUCCCGUACGCGGUACCA
This 63-nucleotide transfer RNA is filed under the name Cnuella takakiae. RNAcentral describes it as "tRNA-Glu". It matches the Rfam family "tRNA", at positions 13 to 71 of the family's 71-position model. Rfam says of the family: Transfer RNA (tRNA) molecules are approximately 80 nucleotides in length. Their secondary structure includes four short double-helical elements and three loops (D, anti-codon, and T loops). Lineage: Bacteria; Pseudomonadati; Bacteroidota; Chitinophagia; Chitinophagales; Chitinophagaceae. The record is from RNAcentral.